CGGGCGUUAAGUUGCAGGGUAUAGACCCGAAACCCGGUGAUCUAGCCAUGGGCAGGUUGAAGGUUGGGUAACACUAACUGGAGGACCGAACCGACUAAUGUUGAAAAAUUAGCGGAUGACCUGUGGCUGGGGGUGAAAGGCCAAUCAAACCGGGAGAUAGCUGGUUCUCCCCGAAAGCUAUUUAGGUAGCGCCUCGUGAAUUCAUCUCCGGGGGUAGAGCACUGUUUCGGCUAGGGGGCCAUCCCGGCUUACCAACCCGAUGCAAACUGCGAAUACCGGAGAAUGUUAUCACGGGAGACACACGGCGGGUGCUAACGUCCGUCGUGAAGAGGGAAACAACCCAGACCGCCAGCUAAGGUCCCAAAGUCAUGGUUAAGUGGGAAACGAUGUGGGAAGGCCCAGACAGCCAGGAUGUUGGCUUAGAAGCAGCCAUCAUUUAAAGAAAGCGUAAUAGCUCACUGGUCGAGUCGGCCUGCGCGGAAGAUGUAACGGGGCUAAACCAUGCACCGAAGCUGCGGCAGCGACGCUGAUGCGUUGUUGGGUAGGGGAGCGUUCUGUAAGCCUGUGAAGGUGGCCUGUGAGGGUUGCUGGAGGUAUCAGAAGUGCGAAUGCUGACAUAAGUAACGAUAAAGCGGGUGAAAAGCCCGCUCGCCGGAAGACCAAGGGUUCCUGUCCAACGUUAAUCGGGGCAGGGUGAGUCGACCCCUAAGGCGAGGCCGAAAGGCGUAGUCGAUGGGAAACGGGUUAAUAUUCCCGUACUUGGUGUUACUGCGAAGGGGGGACGGAGAAGGCUAUGUUGGCCGGGCGACGGUUGUCCCGGUUUAAGCGUGUAGGUGUGUGUUCCAGGUAAAUCCGGUUCACUUUAACACUGAGGCGUGAUGACGAGGCACUACGGUGCUGAAGCAACAAAUGCCCUGCUUCCAGGAAAAGCCUCUAAGCAUCAGGUAACAUCAAAUCGUACCCCAAACCGACACAGGUGGUCAGGUAGAGAAUACCAAGGCGCUUGAGAGAACUCGGGUGAAGGAACUAGGCAAAAUGGUGCCGUAACU
RNAcentral lists this ribosomal RNA (1049 nucleotides) under Salmonella enterica. RNAcentral describes it as "partial 23S ribosomal RNA". It matches the Rfam family "Bacterial large subunit ribosomal RNA", at positions 689 to 1735 of the family's 2925-position model. The record is from RNAcentral. Lineage: Bacteria; Pseudomonadati; Pseudomonadota; Gammaproteobacteria; Enterobacterales; Enterobacteriaceae. RNAcentral also lists the same sequence under 1 other name.